This 126-nucleotide ribosomal RNA is filed under the name Rhodococcus sp. ANT_H53B. Its description in RNAcentral is "partial 16S ribosomal RNA". It matches the Rfam family "Bacterial small subunit ribosomal RNA", at positions 1417 to 1533 of the family's 1533-position model. Lineage: Bacteria; Bacillati; Actinomycetota; Actinomycetes; Mycobacteriales; Nocardiaceae. The record is from RNAcentral.
ACACCCGAAGCCGGUGGCCUAACCCUUGUGGAGGGAGCCGUCGAAGGUGGGAUCGGCGAUUGGGACGAAGUCGUAACAAGGUAGCCGUACCGGAAGGUGCGGCUGGAUCACCUCCUUUCUAAGGAG